UUGGGAGCUCUCCCAUAUGGUCGACCUGCAGGCGGCCGCGAAUUCACUAGUGAUUCGUAUUACCGCGGCUGCUGGCACAGAGUUAGCCGGUGCUUAUUCUGUCGGUAACGUCAAAACAGCAAAGUAUUAAUUUACUGCCCUUCCUCCCAACUUAAAGUGCUUUACAAUCCGAAGACCUUCUUCACACACGCGGCAUGGCUGGAUCAGGCUUUCGCCCAUUGUCCAAUAUUCCCCACUGCUGCCUCCCGUAGGAGUCUGGACCGUGUCUCAGUUCCAGUGUGACUGAUCAUCCUCUCAGACCAGUUACGGAUCGUCGCCUUGGUGAGCCAUUACCCCACCAACUAGCUAAUCCGACCUAGGCUCAUCUGAUAGCGCAAGGCCCGAAGGUCCCCUGCUUUCUCCCGUAGGACGUAUGCGGUAUUAGCGUCCGUUUCCGAACGUUAUC
Molecule: ribosomal RNA, 445 nt
Filed under: uncultured Gammaproteobacteria bacterium
Lineage: Bacteria; Pseudomonadati; Pseudomonadota; Gammaproteobacteria
Description: partial 16S ribosomal RNA
Source: RNAcentral